CCUACGGGAGGCAGCAGUGAGGAAUAUUGGUCAAUGGACGAGAGUCUGAACCAGCCAAGUAGCGUGAAGGAUGACUGCCCUAUGGGUUGUAAACUUCUUUUAUAUGGGAAUAAAAUGUUCCACGUGUGGGAUUUUGUAUGUACCAUAUGAAUAAGGAUCGGCUAACUCCGUGCCAGCAGCCGCGGUAAUACGGAGGAUCCGAGCGUUAUCCGGAUUUAUUGGGUUUAAAGGGAGCGUAGGUGGAUUGUUAAGUCAGUUGUGAAAGUUUGCGGCUCAACCGUAAAAUUGCAGUUGAAACUGGCAGUCUUGAGUACAGUAGCGGUGGGCGGAAUUCGUGGUGUAGCGCUGACAUGCUUCGAUAUCACGAAGAACUCCGAUUGCGAAGGCAGUUCACUGGACUGCACCUGACACUGAGGCUCGAAAGUGUGGGUAUCAAACAGGAUUAGAUACCCUGGUAGUC
This 460-nucleotide ribosomal RNA is filed under the name uncultured bacterium. Its description in RNAcentral is "partial 16S ribosomal RNA". It matches the Rfam family "Bacterial small subunit ribosomal RNA", at positions 338 to 795 of the family's 1533-position model. The record is from RNAcentral.